This 253-nucleotide ribosomal RNA is filed under the name uncultured bacterium. RNAcentral's name for it is "partial 16S ribosomal RNA". It matches the Rfam family "Bacterial small subunit ribosomal RNA", at positions 524 to 776 of the family's 1533-position model. The record is from RNAcentral.
UACGUAGGGGGCUAGCGUUGUCCGGAUUUAUUGGGCGUAAAGAGCGUGUAGGCGGCCAGGUAGGUCUGGUGUGAAAACUCGAGGCUUAACCUCGAGAUGUCAUCGGAAACCAUCUGGCUAGAGUCCGGAAGAGGAGAAUGGAAUUCCCGGUGUAGCGGUGAAAUGCGCAGAUAUCGGGAAGAACACCCGUGGCGAAGGCAGGUCUCUGGGCCACUACUGACGCUGAGAAGCGAAAGCAUGGGGAGCGAACAGG